RNAcentral lists this ribosomal RNA (420 nucleotides) under uncultured bacterium. RNAcentral's name for it is "bacterial SSU rRNA". It matches the Rfam family "Bacterial small subunit ribosomal RNA", at positions 497 to 916 of the family's 1533-position model. The record is from RNAcentral.
CCUACGGGAGGCAGCAGCCGCGGUAAUACGGGAGAUGCAAGCGUUAUCCGGAAUUAUUGGGCGUAAAGCGUUCGUAGGCGGUUCAACAAGUCUGUUGUCAAAGGUCGCAGCUUAACUGCGGAAAGGCAAUGGAAACUGUGGAGCUAGAGUGUGGUAGGGGUAAGGGGAAUUCCCAGUGUAGCGGUGAAAUGCGUAGAUAUUGGGAAGAACACCAGCGGCGAAAGCGCCUUACUGGGCCACAACUGACGCUGAGGGACGAAAGCUAGGGGAGCGAAAGGGAUUAGAUACCCCUGUAGUCCUAGCCGUAAACGAUGGACACUAGGUGUUGUCUGUAUCGACCCGGACAGUGCCGUAGCCAACGCGUUAAGUGUCCCGCCUGGGGAGUACGCACGCAAGUGUGAAACUCAAAUGAAUUGACGG